GGGGACAUGGGGUAGUGGCAGCCCGUCAGGCUCCAGACUUGGCAGUCUGGGUUCGAUUCCCAGUGUCCCCA
RNAcentral lists this transfer RNA (71 nucleotides) under Candidatus Iainarchaeum sp. RNAcentral describes it as "tRNA-Trp". It matches the Rfam family "tRNA". From Rfam's summary of the family: Transfer RNA (tRNA) molecules are approximately 80 nucleotides in length. Their secondary structure includes four short double-helical elements and three loops (D, anti-codon, and T loops). Further hydrogen bonds mediate the characteristic L-shaped molecular structure. tRNAs have two regions of fundamental functional importance: the anti-codon, which is responsible for specific mRNA codon recognition, and the 3' end, to which the tRNAs corresponding amino acid is attached (by aminoacyl-tRNA synthetases). tRNAs cope with the degeneracy of the genetic code in two manners: having more than one tRNA (with a specific anti-codon) for a particular amino acid; and 'wobble' base-pairing, i.e. permitting non-standard base-pairing at the 3rd anti-codon position. Lineage: Archaea; Nanobdellati; Candidatus Iainarchaeota; Candidatus Iainarchaeia; Candidatus Iainarchaeales; Candidatus Iainarchaeaceae. The record is from RNAcentral.